RNAcentral lists this Y RNA (112 nucleotides) under Theropithecus gelada (gelada). RNAcentral's name for it is "Y RNA (ENSTGEG00000015652.1)". It matches the Rfam family "Y RNA". Rfam says of the family: Y RNAs are components of the Ro ribonucleoprotein particle (Ro RNP), in association with Ro60 and La proteins. The record is from Rfam by way of RNAcentral. Lineage: Eukaryota; Metazoa; Chordata; Mammalia; Primates; Cercopithecidae.
GGUUGGUCCAAGGGUAGUGAGUUAUUUCAAUUGAUUGUUCACAGUCAGUUACAGACCAAAUUCCUUGUUUUACUCUUUCCUUCUUCUCUCUACUACACUUGAGUAACUUUUA